Molecule: ribosomal RNA, 301 nt
Filed under: uncultured bacterium
Lineage: Bacteria
Description: partial 16S ribosomal RNA
Rfam family: Bacterial small subunit ribosomal RNA
Source: RNAcentral
CAGUCGCCGCGGUAAAACGAAGGGUGCAAGCGUUAAUCGGAAUUACUGGGCGUAAAGCGUGCGUAGGCGGUGAGUUAAGUCUGCUGUGAAAUCCCCGGGCUCAACCUGGGAAUGGCAGUGGAUACUGGCAAGCUAGAGUGUGUCAGAGGAUGGUGGAAUUCCCGGUGUAGCGGUGAAAUGCGUAGAGAUCUGGAGGAAUACCGGUGGCGAAGGCGGCCCCCUGGACAAAGACUGACGCUCAGGUGCGAAAGCGUGGGGAGCAAACAGGAUUAGAGACCCCAGUAGUCCCUGUCUCUUAUAC